Non-coding RNA from Marasmius tenuissimus, 91 nucleotides. NCBI's taxonomy places the organism in Eukaryota, Fungi, Basidiomycota, Agaricomycetes, Agaricales, Marasmiaceae. The record is from the annotation of a GenBank genome assembly.
UCCCUGGUAGUAUAUCGGUUAGUACACGCGCCUGUCAUGGGUCAUAGCUGAAAAUUCGCGCGAAAGCUGGGUUCGACUCCCAGCCAGGGAG